CAAAGAACUUUGAAGAGAGAGUUCAAGAGGGCGUGAAACCGUUUAGAGGGAAACGGGUAGAGCCAAUGAAAACUCGCAGCAUUCAGCCUGAGCUUUGCAAGGGUGUAUUUGCUGUGGGUGGCGCUGAAAGGAGUAGUGCUCGCAUGCAGAAGCGGGUUCAGAGGACUGUUUCGGCAGAACCCUGGGCUUGUGACGCGGCCUUUGUGCUACUUCUGGGUUGCUGGCCCUCGCGACGGCGUAUCUUUAUGGCGCUGAGUGGGUUAGUCUGGUGCAGGAGCUUGCUCCGGUGCUGGCUAGCUAGCUUGGAAUCGUGAUGAGGAGCCCAGCAAUGUUUCAGUGAAAAAGUUGGCCGCCUACCUGACCCGUCUUGAAACACGGACCAAGGAGUCUAACAUGUGCGCGAGUUAAAAGGUGGUAAGCCUAUAGAGCGCAAUGAAAGUAAAGGUCGGUUUAACCGGCUUAUAUGGGAUCGUAGUUUCACGACUUCGAGCACCAUAGUCCCGUCGCGUCUGCAUGUCAGUGCGGCGGAGACAGAGCGUACACGUUGGGACCCGAAAGAUGGUGAACUAUGCCUGAGCAGGAUGAAGCCAGGGGAAACUCUGGUGGAGGUCCGAAGCGGUUCUGACGUGCAAAUCGAUCGUCAGACUUGGGUAUAGGGGCGAAAGACUAAUCGAACCAUC
Molecule: ribosomal RNA, 680 nt
Filed under: Axonolaimus sp. 2 MJR-2013
Lineage: Eukaryota; Metazoa; Nematoda; Chromadorea; Araeolaimida; Axonolaimidae
Description: eukaryotic LSU rRNA
Rfam family: Eukaryotic large subunit ribosomal RNA
Source: RNAcentral